Molecule: transfer RNA, 96 nt
Filed under: Isoptericola cucumis
Lineage: Bacteria; Bacillati; Actinomycetota; Actinomycetes; Micrococcales; Promicromonosporaceae
Description: tRNA-Arg
Source: RNAcentral
GCCCGGCGGGGCUGCCGGUGCGGGCGGCCUGGCUGCGGGCCGUGCGGCGGGCUCAGCUGCGCCUCGCCCGCGGGCUGGGCGUCCCGUGCCCGGUGC